This 692-nucleotide ribosomal RNA is filed under the name uncultured bacterium. RNAcentral describes it as "bacterial SSU rRNA". It matches the Rfam family "Bacterial small subunit ribosomal RNA", at positions 61 to 753 of the family's 1533-position model. The record is from RNAcentral.
GCCGAGCGGUAUUGUUUCUUCGGAAAUGAGAGAGCGGCGUACGGGUGCGGAACACGUGUGCAACCUGCCUUUAUCUGGGGGAUAGCCUUUCGAAAGGAAGAUUAAUACUCCAUAAUAUAUUGAACGGCAUCGUUUAAUAUUGAAAGCUCCGGCGGAUAGAGAUGGGCACGCGCAAGAUUAGCUAGUUGGUGAGGUAACGACUCACCAAGGCGAUGAUCUUUAGGGGGCCUGAGAGGGUGAUCCCCCACACUGGUACUGAGACACGGACCAGACUCCUACGGGAGGCAGCAGUGAGGAAUAUUGGUCAAUGGGUGCAAGCCUGAACCAGCCAUCCCGCGUGAAGGACGACUGCCCUAUGGGUUGUAAACUUCUUUUGUAUAGGGAUAAACCUACCCUCGUGAGGGUAGCUGAAGGUACUAUACGAAUAAGCACCGGCUAACUCCGUGCCAGCAGCCGCGGUAAUACGGAGGGUGCAAGCGUUAUCCGGAUUUAUUGGGUUUAAAGGGUCCGUAGGCGGACUUAUAAGUCAGUGGUGAAAGCCUGUCGCUUAACGAUAGAACUGCCAUUGAUACUGUAAGUCUUGAGUAUAUUUGAGGUAGCUGGAAUAAGUAGUGUAGCGGUGAAAUGCAUAGAUAUUACUUAGAACACCAAUUGCGAAGGCAGGUUACCAAGAUAUAACUGACGCUGAGGGA